AUUUUUUUUUUUAAUAAAACAAUAUAACUUAUGGCUAAAUGAGUUACGCCUCCCCCCUCCAUACGCGCCACUGAGCGCCAACACACCACACCAACACGAUCCACAAGAAGACUCCACCCACUAACACACACCAUCACACCACGCAGACAUCACACCCCACACAUACACAUCACAUCACACAACUCUACACAACUCAACCUUCAAAAGGGGCUAACAGAGGACAAAACGGCUCCCUUUUUCGUUAGCGAUCAAACCGAAGAGACGUACGAGACAUUCCGCCCGUGCUACCCUUUUGUAUACGCCGUGUUUUUAUUUUAAAGUGAAAAAGUUGAUCCGGCAAAGUGUUUCGAGAUAUGCGCGUAAGAUUUUUUUAACUGAGCGUAAUCGGCACCAAAACCAUAAACUCGUUUUUCUCGAAAUGCUGUUUUUAGAGGCGCUGUGGAAAUGUUCUCCGAACUGGCUUCACCGAUUGAUUUGAAAUUUUUGCACAACCUUCUUAGAUAUUUUUCUCAGAUUUGAGGUGAUGUUAAGCAGAAAAAUUUUCCUCACCGUCUACUACCUUUUUUCCGGAAGACUGUCUGGAGAUCGGCUACGGGAUCAAGGGAAUCCGAAAUUUUCACCGACUAUGAAAAUGCAAUCAAUUCUGUAAAUACUUACCUUUUUAUUUAUAUAUUAAAUAAAAUUCUUUUUCAAAAAAAUCGCAAAAGAAAAACAACGAGUUGGGCUCUCUCUAUAUGUCGACAUGAAUAUUAACAACUUUAAUUUGUCGCACAGCGUAUUUAAAACAACAGCUGAAUACUUUAUUUAAUAUUUAUUAUCAUUGUAAAAUUAAAAUAUUGAAUUAUCAGAACUCAUUAAUUUAGUUAUUUAUGACCAAAAAAUUUUAUUAAAAUAAAUCACAUAUUUAUAUACAGCUACACAUGAAAAACAAGUUCUUGAGCGAUAUUUGUAAGUAAAUAAGUAAGCGUAAAAACUAAUUUUUUGUCAUGACCAAAAAAGCUGCUAUCGCGAAACAAUAAAAAUCUGUCACGGCAUAGCACUUGAAAAUUAUGAAAGCGAAAGUGCAAGCAGUUUUGUUCAAAAUUAAAUAAAUAUUUCCACAAUGUAUUAUAAAAAACGUUCACCGAAAAGUUAUGACUAAAAAAUGUAAAUGAAUAUAGUAUUAAUACACACACUCGAAUAUAUAUAAAUACAUGGCCCUAAAAGCUCUGCUCCAAAUCAAUUAAGCGGUCAAAGUCAAUAACAUGAGCGCGUCGCUCAGCGUCAAUACAAAAAAAAAAUGGCAUUACACUAGCACAUAAAAUUGUUCAUACAUAAAUAUGUAUGUGGAAAUUAUAAAAUCACAAAUGUGUUGGCGUUUAGCACGCGUAGCCAAUUAAAAAUAAAAAGUGUCAAGCACUAGCUUCCGAUUGUUCUGUUUAUAUGGCAGCUACAUGCUAUAGUGAAUAAAUCUGAACAGUUUUUUAUGGGCUGGCAUUAUUGCUUUAGACAAUAAUUCAUGCCAAAUUUAGUGCACAUAUCUCCUCAAAUAAAAAACCUAUUUUAUACAAGCACCUGAUUCCGAUCGUUCAGUUUGUAUGGCAGCUAUAUGCUACAGUGAUCAGAUAGAGACAGAGAAACGGACAUGGGUAAAUCGACUUAGCACGUAGCAUUUGUUAUAAACCAUAAUCCCCUUAAGUAUAUGUGAAAAGAAGCGAAAUCGCUCUAAAUCACGCCUGCUUCCCUUAUAUUGACAUUAUUCGCUACCUAAGUCAUUAAUAAAUAUAAUAUAAUGCCCAACUAUGACCUUCCAAACCUUCCUAAAAUACCCUUGUAUCAAGUGUGAGGAUUUCUUAUAGCAAAUGUUUCGUACAGUAUAACAGAUCUAUUAAAAUUAAAUAAACAUUUUAGAUUAAGUAUAGUGUAUUUUGUACU
Non-coding RNA from Bactrocera oleae (olive fruit fly), 1914 nucleotides. The record is from RefSeq and is a predicted model, not a curated record. NCBI's taxonomy places the organism in Eukaryota, Metazoa, Arthropoda, Insecta, Diptera, Tephritidae.